Long non-coding RNA from Nilaparvata lugens (brown planthopper), 266 nucleotides. RefSeq lists it as uncharacterized. The transcript is spliced from 2 exons. The record is from RefSeq and is a predicted model, not a curated record. NCBI's taxonomy places the organism in Eukaryota, Metazoa, Arthropoda, Insecta, Hemiptera, Delphacidae.
GAGAAAAAAAAGGGGUGAAGUGGACAUUACAAAUUGAUCCUUGGACUUGUGGAAAUUGAUAUUUGAAUUUGUAACGUUUCCUAUUUUAAAAAAACAUGCUACAGGAGAAAAAAAGGGGUGAAGUGGCCAUUACAAACUGAUCCUUGGACUUGUGGAAAUUGAUAUUUGAAUUUGUAACGUUUCCUAUUUAAAAAAAAAAAAAACAUGCUACAGGUGGGAAUAUAUAUUGGAUGAUAUCACCAGUUCAUUACAUAUGGUCAUAGAAU